CAGGACGAACGCUGGCGGCGUGCCAAUACAUGCAAGUCGAACGGCUUUUCUAUGGAAGCUUGCUUCCACUGAGAAGAUAGUGGCGAACGGGUGAGUAACACGUGGGUAACCUGCCCAUAAGAGGGGGGAUAACAUCCGGAAACGGGUGCUAAUACCGCAUAGUUUUCUUGAUCGCAUGAUCGGGAAAGGAAAGACGGCCUUUGUGCUGUCGCUUAUGGAUGGACCCGCGGCGUAUUAGUUAGUUGGUGAGGUAAUGGCUCACCAAGACGAUGAUACGUAGCCGACCUGAGAGGGUGAUCGGCCACAUUGGGACUGAGACACGGCCCAAACUCCUACGGGAGGCAGCAGUAGGGAAUCUUCCGCAAUGGACGAAAGUCUGACGGAGCAACGCCGCGUGAGUGAAGAAAAGGUUUUCGGAUCGUAAAACUCUGUUGUCAGAGAAGAACAAGUUGGAGAGUAACUGCUCCAGCCUUGACGGUAUCUGACCAGAAAGCCACGGCUAACUACGUGCCAGCCGCUGC
RNAcentral lists this ribosomal RNA (521 nucleotides) under uncultured bacterium. Its description in RNAcentral is "bacterial SSU rRNA". It matches the Rfam family "Bacterial small subunit ribosomal RNA", at positions 25 to 518 of the family's 1533-position model. The record is from RNAcentral.